GUAAAUUUGAGUAGAAACAAAAGAAUGUGGGGAGUUUAUCUAACUAGCUUGUUCACUCAUGUGGUCCUAAGACUCACCUUUGAUCUACCUGGAUGGUCAGUCAAGCUGGCAAAGCAGAAUAUCUGUGUGUCAGUGUACUUUAUUCACCCGUUGUUGUGUCAGGACCUGCAGGACAGACCCCCACAGCCGGUGCCCCAUGUGAGGAUCGCUGCAAAGGGAGCGUGACAGACCCCAUGAAAACGAAGGUUGAGGAAGACUGCGUGGUCAAGUCAGUAAAACAGGGAGAGAACAUGUAUAAAUCACGGCAAUGCAAGUGCUCACUACAGAACCUGCAGGAGGAGCAAGUGCACAACUGAGAGAAGGCAGCGCCCUGCCCGAGGAAGCAGGUGCCCUGAGAUCAUCCCCUGGGAACUGUGCUCUAGGUGCCGUGCGCCAGUGGAACCUGGGCUGGGGCCUGGGAUUUGUAGGUGGUGUGGAGAGCAGAGCACAGCUCCAUUCCUCCUCACUGUGUGACCUGGGAUGUGGCAUCUUCCUCUGAGCUUCAUUCGGACAAGGUGUUAAUAUAAAAUUGCAGCAUUAAAUUUACCUAUAACCUUUCAAUUAGGAGCCAGUGCUGUUCAGAAUUGUUAUCACUACUGUUGUCCAAACCCUUAAAUAUUAUAAAAUACCUGUGUGACCCCUCAUCUCAGACCUCAGAUGACCACAUUGCAGAGAAGACACCUGCUUUGUUUCUGUCACGAACAUGGUAUUAGAACGGGAAAGUAUGUGUAACCUUGUUAUAGAUUUCAUGUUAAUUAAGUUACAAUGGGUAAAAUUAGAAUUAGUAAGUGAUACUUAAAAUUUAGCUUUGGGGAUUUCUAAGCAAAGUGUGGAUGGUGUGUUUUGAUUUCUCCUUGCUUAAUAUAGUAUAAUGUGAGAGGAGGAGACAAAUUAAAGAAGAAACUAUCCAGCAAUGUGGAAUCAGGUAUUUUAUAAAUAAAGAAGGUUCUCACCUCUUCUGAAAACCCCAUAACCUUAAAAAAAUGAAGGAACUUUAAGACAUAUUUCUAUAUUCUGGAUACAUGACUAAUAAAAACAUAUUUAAGUGCAAAAAGAGAUACACAGAAGAUGAAACUUCUGCAGCAGAUAAUUUUGCCAAAUAGCUUUAUACUAGUUUGUAAUUUUACCUAAAUAUUCAAAAGAUAAACUCCAGAGAGAUCCAAAUAAGAAAUUAUAACAUUUCAAUGUUAGAUGACUGGUUGAGAGGCGCUUGAACUAACAUUAUUUUGAUGAAUCAUACCUCAAUAAUAAAACUGUGUCUAAUGGUACACUGUUCAAGAGGCUACUUGAGUAUAUAGUUUCUACCUCUCCUAUUUGGGAGUCCUGGCACAACCCAACGUUCUCUAAACCUGGGGGCCACUAAGAACAGAGACAGAAGUUGGAAUAUUAUGAAGUCAUUAUGAAGU
RNAcentral lists this long non-coding RNA (1445 nucleotides) under Homo sapiens (human). RNAcentral describes it as "HSALNT0217018". Lineage: Eukaryota; Metazoa; Chordata; Mammalia; Primates; Hominidae. The record is from RNAcentral.